UGAACCCCGUCCACUCUCCAGUGGCCCACCACGUACUGUCCACAGAAGCUCCAGGCGGUUAUCCUGCACAGCCUCUCCACAAUCCCCAGACUCGACAGCCAUCUCCCUGGCGGAUCAAGCCGCUCCCGAACAAUCCUGUUUCCACAGCCUGUGUUGGGAACUUUACUUCAAUGGCUGGUGUUCCUCCAUCUCGAGGACUUCCAAGAAGAUCCUUCCUCAUACCACUGCUCCUAGACUCCUCGCUGCUCCUCCGUCCUCCCGGAUCCUAGCUAUGCUGCUGCUCGGUAAUCCAUCACUCUCCUGCCUGUCUACCCUCAGUCUGCUGUGGCUCUUCCAACAGCCUCACUAUGGAGAAGGACAAACUAAUGCGCUGCCAGCGCAACCUCUCAAACACAACCAGCCUGUCAAUCUCACUUAGAGAGUUACUCACCUUCCCUGGCCCUCCAUCUUCAUCACCAAACAGUAUGCCGCUCCUUCAACCUGUCGCUCAACUCCACAUUCAACAUAAACUUACCUCCAACUAGUACUUAACUUCACCUUCCAGUGUUUGUCCAGAUCCCGGUCCAGAAACCUGAAGUUCUCUACCUUGUGUUUCUUAAUAAAUCACCUAAAAACUG
This is a long non-coding RNA of Girardinichthys multiradiatus, 617 nucleotides long. RefSeq lists it as uncharacterized. NCBI's taxonomy places the organism in Eukaryota, Metazoa, Chordata, Actinopteri, Cyprinodontiformes, Goodeidae. The transcript is spliced from 2 exons. The record is from RefSeq and is a predicted model, not a curated record.